This 71-nucleotide transfer RNA is filed under the name Camelus bactrianus (Bactrian camel). It matches the Rfam family "tRNA". From Rfam's summary of the family: Transfer RNA (tRNA) molecules are approximately 80 nucleotides in length. Their secondary structure includes four short double-helical elements and three loops (D, anti-codon, and T loops). RNAcentral also lists the same sequence under 1 other name. The record is from Rfam by way of RNAcentral. Lineage: Eukaryota; Metazoa; Chordata; Mammalia; Artiodactyla; Camelidae.
GAGGGUAUAGCUCAGUGGUAGAGCACAUGCUAGCAUGCAUGAGGUCCUAGGUUCAAUCCCCAGUACCUCCA